This 945-nucleotide ribosomal RNA is filed under the name Terfezia leptoderma. Its description in RNAcentral is "eukaryotic LSU rRNA". It matches the Rfam family "Eukaryotic large subunit ribosomal RNA", at positions 22 to 980 of the family's 3401-position model. Lineage: Eukaryota; Fungi; Ascomycota; Pezizomycetes; Pezizales; Pezizaceae. The record is from RNAcentral.
UGUACCCGCUGAAACUUAAGCAUAUCAAUAAGCGGAGGAAAAGAAACCAACAGGGAUUGCCCUAGUAACGGCGAGUGAAGCGGCAAAAGCUCAGAUUUGAAAUCUGGUGUCAUUUUGGCAUCCGAGUUGUAGUCUGUAGAGGUGUAUUCGAGUGUGGCUUUGGCUUAAGUUCCUUGGAACAGGACGUCAUAGAGGGUGAGAACCCCGUUAACGGCCUUUGUCUUAUGCUCAUGUGAAUCUCCUUCAACGAGUCGAGUUGUUUGGGAAUGCAGCUCUAAAUGGGUGGUAAAUUCCAUCUAAAGCUAAAUACUGGCAAGAGACCGAUAGCGCACAAGUAGAGUGAUCGAAAGAUGAAAAGAACUCUGAACAGAGAGUUAAAUAGUACGUGAAAUUGUUGAAAGGGAAGCACUUGCGACCAGACGCACCUGCAGCCGAUCAAUUCUCAUUUUUGAGGAUGCACUCGGUUGUUUGUGGGUCAGCAUCAGUUAUAGCGGUGGGAAAAAGACCCGAGGAAUGUAGCUCCUUUCGGGGAGUGUUAUAGCCUUGGGUGCAAUGCUGCCUGCUGUGACUGAGGACCGCGCUUCGGUGAGGAUGCUGGCAUAAUGGUCGUAAGUGACCCGUCUUGAAACACGGACCAAGGAGUCUAACAUCUAUGCGAGUGUUUGGGUGUAUAAACCCUUACGCGUAAUGAAAGUAAAUGGAGGUGGGAACCGCAAGGUGCACCAUCGACCGAUCCUGAUGUUUUCGGAUGGAUUUGAGUAGGAGCAUAGCUGUUGGGACCCGAAAGAUGGUGAACUAUGCCUGAAUAGGGUGAAGCCAGAGGAAACUCUGGUGGAGGCUCGCAGCGGUUCUGACGUGCAAAUCGAUCGUCAAAUUUGGGUAUAGGGGCGAAAGACUAAUCGAACCAUCUAGUAGCUGGUUCCGGCCGAAGUUUCCCUCAGGAUA